This 253-nucleotide ribosomal RNA is filed under the name uncultured bacterium. RNAcentral's name for it is "partial 16S ribosomal RNA". It matches the Rfam family "Bacterial small subunit ribosomal RNA", at positions 524 to 776 of the family's 1533-position model. The record is from RNAcentral.
UACGUAGGGGGCAAGCGUUGUCCGGAUUUAUUGGGCGUAAAGAGCGUGUAGGCGGCCAGGUAGGUCAGCUGUGAAAACUCGAGGCUCAACCUCGAGACGUCGGUUGAAACCACCUGGCUAGAGUCCGGAAGAGGAGAGUGGAAUUCCUGGUGUAGCGGUGAAAUGCGCAGAUAUCAGGAAGAACACCCGUGGCGAAGGCGGCUCUCUGGGACGGUACUGACGCUGAGGUGCGAAAGCGUGGGGAGCAAACAGG